AACGAACGCUGGCGGCAUGCCUAACACAUGCAAGUCGAACGAACCCUUCGGGCUUAGUGGCGCACGGGUGCGUAACGCGUGGGGAACUGCCUUUUGCUUUGGCAUAUCUUAGGGAAACACGUGCUAAUACCGGCUGUUGUCUUCCGACCAAAGGUUUAUCGGCAAGGGAGGAGCCGGCGUAGGAUUAGGUAGUUGGUGGGGUAAAGGCCUACCAAGCCGAGGAUCCUUAGCUGGUUUGAGAGGAUGAGUAGCCACACUGGGGCUGAGACACGGCCCAGACUCCUACGGGAUGCAGCAGUGGCGGAUAUAGGAAUGUGGCCUCAAGCCUGAUCCAGCUAUGCCGCGAGAGUGAUUAAAGCCGGCGGGACGUAAAGCUCUUUUACCAGGGAUGAUAAUGACGGUACCUGGAGAAUAAGCACCGGCUAACUCCGUG
Molecule: ribosomal RNA, 433 nt
Filed under: uncultured bacterium
Lineage: Bacteria
Description: partial 16S ribosomal RNA
Rfam family: Bacterial small subunit ribosomal RNA
Source: RNAcentral